UCACAUGAUCUGGUAUCAACUUGUUGAUCAGCUCAGGAGAUGACCCAGAUAACUGUAUCCAAAUUAAUGCAAUUAGCUAAACAAUGGCUUCAAUGGGUGAUUUGUUAAAGACAAUAGGUUAUAAUAUAACAUAAGAACAAACUGAAGGCAGAAAAAUACUACAUUCACUACAGUUGGCAAUUAUCACGAACAAUUUCACAAUCUUUAUGGAUACCAAUCU
Molecule: long non-coding RNA, 220 nt
Organism: Tripterygium wilfordii
Lineage: Eukaryota; Viridiplantae; Streptophyta; Magnoliopsida; Celastrales; Celastraceae
Exons: 2
Source: RefSeq, a predicted model, not a curated record